RNAcentral lists this unclassified non-coding RNA (498 nucleotides) under uncultured Glomus. Its description in RNAcentral is "SSU rRNA". It matches the Rfam family "Eukaryotic small subunit ribosomal RNA", at positions 591 to 1092 of the family's 1831-position model. The record is from RNAcentral. Lineage: Eukaryota; Fungi; Glomeromycota; Glomeromycetes; Glomerales; Glomeraceae.
CCAAUAGCGUAUAUUAAAGUUGUUGCAGUUAAAAAGCUCGUAGUUGAAUUUCGGGAUCAAUAUGUUGGUCGUGCCUCGGUACGUACUAGCAUAUUGGUUUCUCCUUUCUGAAGAACCAUGAUGUCAUUUAUUUGGUGUCGUGGGGAAUCAGGACUGUUACUUUGAAAAAAUUAGAGUGUUUAAAGCAGGCUCACGCUUGAAUACAUUAGCAUGGAAUAAUGAAAUAGGACGUUUGAUUCUAUUUUGUUGGUUUCUAGGAUCGACGUAAUGAUUAAUAGGGAUAGUUGGGGGCAUUAGUAUUCAAUUGUCAGAGGUGAAAUUCUUGGAUUUAUUGAAGACUAACUACUGCGAAAGCAUUUGCCAAGGAUGUUUUCAUUAAUCAAGAACGAAAGUUAGGGGAUCGAAGACGAUCAGAUACCGUCGUAGUCUUAACCAUAAACUAUGCCGACUAGGGAUCGGAUGAUGUUAAUUUUUUAAUGACUCAUUCGGCGCCUUACG